Molecule: ribosomal RNA, 433 nt
Filed under: uncultured bacterium
Lineage: Bacteria
Description: partial 16S ribosomal RNA
Rfam family: Bacterial small subunit ribosomal RNA
Source: RNAcentral
AGCGAACGCUGGCGGCAGGCCUAACACAUGCAAGUCGAACGAACUCUUCGGAGUUAGUGGCGGACGGGUGAGUAACACGUGGGAACGUGCCUUUUGGUUCGGAAUAACUCAGGGAAACUUGUGCUAAUACCGAAUGUGCCCUUCGGGGGAAAGAUUUAUCGCCAUUAGAGCGGCCCGCGUCUGAUUAGCUAGUUGGUGAGGUAACGGCUCACCAAGGCGACGAUCAGUAGCUGGUCUGAGAGGAUGACCAGCCACACUGGGACUGAGACACGGCCCAGACUCCUGCGGGAGGCAGCAGUGGGGAAUCUUGCGCAAUGGGCGAAAGCCUGACGCAGCCAUGCCGCGUGAAUGAUGAAGGUCUUAGGAUUGUAAAAUUCUUUCACCGGGGACGAUAGUGACGGUACCCGGAGAAGAAGCCCCGGCUAACUUCGUG